AGGAAUCUCUUCAAUAUCAAUCUGACAUGGCAGCUAAGGAACAUAAAGAAGCACUUAUCACAUUAAGAAAACAGUUUCAGGAAAGAAUCAGUGGCAUUGAAGGAGACAAGGGAAAAUACCAGUUAUCUGCUGGAUUGAAAGAACAAGAGAUUAGUGGACUGAAAGAGGAAUUAAAAAAAUUACAG
Long non-coding RNA from Erpetoichthys calabaricus (reedfish), 185 nucleotides. RefSeq lists it as uncharacterized. Lineage: Eukaryota; Metazoa; Chordata; Cladistia; Polypteriformes; Polypteridae. The transcript has 3 exons. The record is from RefSeq and is a predicted model, not a curated record.